GACGAACGCUGGCGGCGUGCUUAACACAUGCAAGUCGAACGGAAAGGCCCUGCUUUUGUGGGGUGCUCGAGUGGCGAACGGGUGAGUAACACGUGAGUAACCUGCCCUUGACUUUGGGAUAACUUCAGGAAACUGGGGCUAAUACCGGAUAUGAGCUCCUGCUGCAUGGUGGGGGUUGGAAAGUUUCGGCGGUUGGGGAUGGACUCGCGGCUUAUCAGCUUGUUGGUGGGGUAGUGGCUUACCAAGGCUUUGACGGGUAGCCGGCCUGAGAGGGUGACCGGCCACAUUGGGACUGAGAUACGGCCCAGACUCCUGCGGGAGGCAGCAGUGGGGAAUAUUGCACAAUGGGCGGAAGCCUGAUGCGACAACGCGGGGUGCGGGAUGACGGUCUUCGGGUUGUAAACCGCUUUCGCCUGUGACGAAGCGUGAUUGACGGUAAUGGGUGAAGAAGCACCGGCUAACUACGUG
RNAcentral lists this ribosomal RNA (468 nucleotides) under uncultured bacterium. RNAcentral describes it as "partial 16S ribosomal RNA". It matches the Rfam family "Bacterial small subunit ribosomal RNA", at positions 28 to 507 of the family's 1533-position model. The record is from RNAcentral.